Molecule: ribosomal RNA, 254 nt
Filed under: uncultured bacterium
Lineage: Bacteria
Description: partial 16S ribosomal RNA
Rfam family: Bacterial small subunit ribosomal RNA
Source: RNAcentral
UACGGGGGGGGGCAAGCGUUGUUCGGAAUUACUGGGCGUAAAGGGCGCGUAGGCGGCCUGCUAAGUCGAACGUGAAAUCCCCGGGCUCAACCCGGGAACUGCGUCCGAUACUGGCAGGCUUGAAUCCGGGAGAGGGAUGUGGAAUUCCAGGUGUAGCGGUGAAAUGCGUAGAUAUCUGGAGGAACACCGGUGGCGAAGGCGGCAUCCUGGACCGGUAUUGACGCUGAGGCACGAAAGCGUGGGGAGCAAACAGG